RNAcentral lists this long non-coding RNA (318 nucleotides) under Solanum tuberosum (potato). RNAcentral's name for it is "long non-coding RNA (STUB_LNC001335)". Lineage: Eukaryota; Viridiplantae; Streptophyta; Magnoliopsida; Solanales; Solanaceae. The record is from RNAcentral.
UCUCUUUUACAACAAUCUCAGCUGAGUGCUUCGUUCCCCUCUUUUUAGGCGAGGUACUUCGUUCCAGCCUUUCUCUUUCUAUUUUGAAACACUUUCGGCUUGAACUCUAUUCGUUUGAGCUUGCAACCCUUCUCGACCUGUCUUUUCAGUCUCAUUCCCUUUCUCUUUUGAAACAAUCUUAGUUCAAGCACUGGUCGACAUACUCAUCUCCAACUAUAUUUCCGGAAUGCACUCCUAGAUAGGGAAGCGCAGGUUCGAGCCUAGCUCGUGAAAAGGCCUUUGCUAUUAAAGGAGAAUGAGCCUUCUCUAUCUCCACAA